UACAGAGGUCUCAAGCGUUGUUCGGAGUCAUUGGGCGUAAAGGGUGCGUAGGUGGCGCGCUAAGUCAGGUGUGAAAUCUCGGGGCUUAACUCCGAAACUGCAUUUGAUACUGGCGUGCUUGAGGACUGGAGAGGAGACUGGAAUUCAUGGUGUAGCAGUGAAAUGCGUAGAGAUCAUGAGGAAGACCAGUGGCGAAGGCGGGUCUCUGGACAGUUCCUGACACUGAGGCACGAAGGCCAGGGGAGCAAACGGG
Molecule: ribosomal RNA, 253 nt
Filed under: uncultured bacterium
Lineage: Bacteria
Description: partial 16S ribosomal RNA
Rfam family: Bacterial small subunit ribosomal RNA
Source: RNAcentral